RNAcentral lists this ribosomal RNA (406 nucleotides) under uncultured bacterium. RNAcentral's name for it is "partial 16S ribosomal RNA". It matches the Rfam family "Bacterial small subunit ribosomal RNA", at positions 30 to 526 of the family's 1533-position model. The record is from RNAcentral.
AUUGAACGCUGGCGGCAGGCCUAACACAUGCAAGUCGAACGAGUGGCGGACGGGUGAGUAAUGUCUGGGAAACUGCCCGAUGGAGGGGGAUAACUACUGGAAACGGUAGCUAAUACCGCAUACCAUCGGAUGUGCCCAGAUGUGAUUAGCUAGUAGGUGGGGUAACGGCUCACCAAGGCGACGAUCCCGAGCUGGUCUGAGAGGAUGACAAGCAAAACGGGCACUGAGACCAGGUCCAGAAUCCUACGUGAGGCAGCAGUGGGGAAUAUUGCACAAUGGGAGAAAGCCUGAUGCAGCCAGGCCGCGUGUAUGAAGAAGGCCUUCGGGUUGUAAGGUACUUUCAGCGAGGAGGCGUUACUCGCAGAAGAAGCACCGGCUAACUCCGUGCCAGCCGCCGCGGUAAUAC